CCUACGGGAGGCAGCAGUGGGGAAUAUUGCGCAAUGGGCGAAAGCCUGACGCAGCGACGCCGCGUGAGGGAUGAAGGUCUUCGGAUCGUAAACCUCUGUCAGCAGGGAAGAACGGUCACUGUACUAAUCAGCAGUGAAUUGACGGUACCUGCAAAGGAAGCACCGGCUAACUCCGUGCCAGCAGCCGCGGUAAUACGGAGGGUGCGAGCGUUAAUCGGAUUUACUGGGCGUAAAGCGCUCGUAGGCGGUAUGUCAAGUCAAGGGUGAAAUCCCGGGGCUCAACGUGGGAACUGCCUUUGAAACUGGCAAACUGGAGUGUGUGAGAGGAUAGUGGAAUUCCAGGUGUAGGAGUGAAAGCCGUAGAUAUCUGGAGGAACAUCAGUGGCGAAGGCGACUAUCUGGCACAUAACUGACGCUGAGGAGCGAAAGCGUGGGUAGCAAACAGGAUUAGAUACCCUAGUAGUC
This 465-nucleotide ribosomal RNA is filed under the name uncultured bacterium. Its description in RNAcentral is "partial 16S ribosomal RNA". It matches the Rfam family "Bacterial small subunit ribosomal RNA", at positions 338 to 795 of the family's 1533-position model. The record is from RNAcentral.